Molecule: ribosomal RNA, 548 nt
Filed under: uncultured Glomeraceae
Lineage: Eukaryota; Fungi; Glomeromycota; Glomeromycetes; Glomerales; Glomeraceae
Description: SSU rRNA
Rfam family: Eukaryotic small subunit ribosomal RNA
Source: RNAcentral
UUGGAGGGCAAGUCUGGUGCCAGCAGCCGCGGUAAUUCCAGCUCCAAUAGCGUAUAUUAAAGUUGUUGCAGUUAAAAAGCUCGUAGUUGAAUUUCGGGGUCAGUAGGUUGGUCAUGCCACAGGUAUGUACUGAUCUCACUGAUUCCUCCUUCCUGAUGAACUGUAAUGCCAUUAAUUUGGUGUUGCAGGGAAUCUGGACUGUUACUUUGAAAAAAUUAGAGUGUUUAAAGCAGGCUUAGCCUGAGUACAUUAGCAUGGAAUAAUGAAAUAGGACGUUCGAUCCUAUUUUGUUGGUUUCUAGGAUUGACGUAAUGAUUAAUAGGGAUAGUUGGGGGCAUUAGUAUUCAAUUGUCAGAGGUGAAAUUCUUGGAUUUAUUGAAGACUAACUACUGCGAAAGCAUUUGCCAAGGAUGUUUUCAUUAAUCAAGAACGAAAGUUAGGGGAUCGAAGACGAUCAGAUACCGUCGUAGUCUUAACCAUAAACUAUGCCGACUAGGGAUCGGAUGAUGUUAAUUUUUUAAUGACUCAUUCGGCGCCUUACGGGAAAC